This 27-nucleotide small RNA is filed under the name Bombyx mori (domestic silkworm). RNAcentral's name for it is "piRNA piR-bmo-1925621". Lineage: Eukaryota; Metazoa; Arthropoda; Insecta; Lepidoptera; Bombycidae. The record is from RNAcentral.
UUGGAAAUCAGAUUGACGCCGUGACUG